RNAcentral lists this long non-coding RNA (1765 nucleotides) under Homo sapiens (human). RNAcentral describes it as "HSALNT0170434". Lineage: Eukaryota; Metazoa; Chordata; Mammalia; Primates; Hominidae. The record is from RNAcentral.
UGGCCACGGUGCCGUCCAGGCAGGAUUUGGAAGGGUCCUGGGCUUUGGAGUCCAGGAACCAGCUGUGGCCCCCCGGGUCUCAGCCUCCCCAGCUGUAAUGCAAAGUAUGCACCCCCAGUGAGGACUCCUCACCUGCUCUUGCCCCUCCCCAGCCAUCCCACCACCACCCAGCAGGGCCUAGGCUGCGGGGCUUGCACUGUGAGAAGCCCAGGCAAGGAGGUGACGCAGAGGCCCUGGCCCAGCCCACACAGCCAGGCCACAGAGCUGGAGCCCAGGGCGACCUAGUCUCUGUCCCCAGAAGGCAGACCAGGACUCCAGCCCCAGGAGCCCCACACAGGCCUUGACUCCCUCUCCUGGACCACGCCAGGGUCCCCCUAGAUGGCGGGCAGGGGGUUGUGGGCAGGGCCUCCGGGAGAUGGGACCAGCAGAAAUGGAGCCACCUGGGGGAGGAUCUGCAGCAAGAGGAGGAAGAUGAAGAACAAGAGGAAGAGGAAGAAGAGAAAGAAGGCUGGAGAGCAGCACCCCAGGCCACGCCACCCACUGCGUCCAGCCCAGCUCUUCCACGCCAGGCCACGACAACCCCUGCGUCUACCCCAGCGCCCAUGCCAGCCCCUGCUUCCAGCUCUGUCUGGGGUGGGUUGGAAGUGUGACCCUCAGAGGUAGGGAUUGGGGCUCAGGCUGGGACCAGAGAGUGACAGAAAACAGACCGUGCUCCCUGCACCUGCCACCCCGUGUCCUCCCACACGGCCUGGUCCAUGUCGAACACGGUAACAGCUGGCCUCAGCAGAGGAGGGACAGCAGCAGCCCUGGUGGAGACGGGAUGCUGGUGACCCUGCGGGGCUGGUGGUGCCAGCAGUGCCUUCCCUGCUCCCGGAGGAGUUGCCCUGGGCCCCCAGCACAGCGGCUACUGGGGUCACAAACGUACCCCAACCCCGAAAGCUCCUUGGAAGGCUAAAGGGCCAGAGCCCUCUCCACGACAAACCCUGGGAAGACAGCCAGGGUUGGCUCUGUUCUGAGCGAGGAAGUCUUGCCAGGUGGGGUGCUUGGGAGGCUGGACCCAGAGCAGGGGAGACCCAGAGCAAGAGAGGCCCAGGACCAGCUCCGGGCAGCCCCGCUGAGGCCCCAAGCCCCCUGCCGCACAACCCACUUUGCACCCAGGACCUCGUACUGACUAGGGUUGGCUCCCCAAGGGCCCCUCCCCCAGGAGACCCCUCCUCCAGGCCCCCCACCAGGAGACCCCUCCUCCAGACUUCCUCCCCCAGGUGCCUCCUCCCCCAAGGCUCCCCGCCAGGUGCUCCUCCCUCAGGUGUUCCGCUCCCAGGUGUCCCCCUGACCCCCUCUAAUAGAGGGACGAAACCCUGGUCCCAGAACAGGGCUUUCCCAGCAGGAAUUCUUCCCUCAGUUUAGCCUUCCUGGGGAGCCCAUGGGUGGAAGGGCGGGGAUUCAGGACCUGGUCCAGCCCAGCCUGACCAGUGGGUACUGGCAGCUGGGGAACCCACCUCCCUGGGCCUCCGCUCCUCACCGGAUGAAAGCCCCACCCAUGCAUCUCAGGGUCUCAGGAUUGAAGGGCAAGGGCUGGGGCUGGGCUUGGGGAGGAGCUGCAGGCUGUGGCGUCAGUCCUGGCCUCAGGCUCAAAGGCGGGUCCCGUUGCUGUCACCUGCAGUGGCUGAGCUCUAGUUGCAGGCUGGGCAGCUGGGAGUGAAUGUGCCCAGGGCUGCACGCAUAUUUUGUCCCAGGGGUGAGGCCUGCUCCUUCCAUUGGACAC